GAGCUCAUUUCAGCUAAGUUGAGUUGUUCUGCCAAUCAAAAUGAGUCCCAGGAAAUUGGCAAAUCAACUCAGCUUAGCUGAACUGAGUUC
This 90-nucleotide microRNA precursor is filed under the name Prunus persica (peach). RNAcentral's name for it is "miR8131 stem-loop (ppe-MIR8131)". Lineage: Eukaryota; Viridiplantae; Streptophyta; Magnoliopsida; Rosales; Rosaceae. The record is from miRBase by way of RNAcentral.